GUGCCAGCCGCCGCGGUAAUACGGGGGGUGCAAGCGUUGCUCGGAAUCACUGGGCGUAAAGCGUCCGCAGGUGGGUGUGUGUGUCGGAUGUGAAAGCCCAGGGCUCAACCCUGGAACUGCAUUCGAAACUGCACAUCUUGAGUACGGGAGAGGGAAGCAGAAUUCCUGGUGUAGAGGUGAAAUUCGUAGAUAUCAGGAGGAAUACCUGUGGCCAAAGCGGCUUCCUGGUCCGAUACUGACACUCAUGGACGAAAGCGUGGGGAGCAAACAGGAUUAGAAACCCUGGUAGUCC
Molecule: ribosomal RNA, 292 nt
Filed under: uncultured bacterium
Lineage: Bacteria
Description: partial 16S ribosomal RNA
Rfam family: Bacterial small subunit ribosomal RNA
Source: RNAcentral